Molecule: long non-coding RNA, 2904 nt
Filed under: Homo sapiens (human)
Lineage: Eukaryota; Metazoa; Chordata; Mammalia; Primates; Hominidae
Description: PREDICTED lncRNA (TCONS_00186860)
Source: RNAcentral
AAUUUACUCCUUAUCCCAGUAGGUCAAGGUGAAAACAGAUUUGCAUCUAUAGUACAGAAACAUGUGAAUCUUCUGUGGCCUCCUGUAUGUUACUAAAAAUGUCUCGUGUUAUUAUGGACUCUGUCCUGUGGGCCAGACUUUGCUCCCAGAAAGAAGCAAGAACUAUUUGCAUAUCUCCCAGAUCAUUCAUUCUCCAGGCCUGUGGGCAUCCACAUCAAAGCCUUAUAGGAUCACCCCCAAUUGUCUCCUUCCUCUAGCUCCAAGGUGUUUUUGAAGAUCAGAGCCAUAAGUAUGAUUACUGCUUGAGGGUCUCUGCAUUUCUGAGGAGUCUCCCAUAGGCUGAAGGCCCAGAAAGUAACUCAGAAAGGGGUUGAAAGAUAGAUACCUUUUGGAUUGAGAAAUUGUUUUACUUCAUCACAAAAUAAAGUACUUACAGUUUGGGGUUUAAAUACUGGGACUUGUAUUGUACCUCCUCUAAAUCAUCCCAGAAAAUGAAGCAGAGAACAAUGUUCAAUGUAGAACUGCCCAUGGUGCCAGAUGAUUUUGAGUCACAUACAGAGCCAGGUACAGCUCUCAAAUGUUAUGUCUACUUGUGUGACAGGCAGCCAGUUUCCUAAGAGGGGGUUGGGGGCAGGAAAAAUUCAGUGCCUUCAUUGUGGGCUGCUUCUUGUUGAAUUUUGCUCCACAGGUUAGAAGACAGGUCCCAGUCUUCCUAAUGAGGCAUUGAAAGUCUAGGUGGAAUAGAUGCUUGCUGGAGCCUGUGGAUAUUAUAAAAGAAAGAGCUCACUGCCUUAAUGUGGUCAGGAGAGGCAGGAGUGAGAGCCAGUGUGAAGGUGUGGGAGUUGGAAGGAACUUGGAACUCAACUUCUUUUGGCCCCUCAACUUGAGAUUCACAAAGAAAAAAAGCAAUGUCUCCUCGCUGAAAGCAAAAUGGAAGCUCCUCCUUGCACAGUGCAGCCCCUUCCUCACUGUAGGUUAUUCCAAGUGAGAAGAGUAAACAUGACUUCUAAAUGCCAUCUAACGAUAUAUGCAUAUCUAAAGGAGACAAGGAUGACUGAAUGCAUCUUCAUGUGUAGGAAGUGAAGUGUCUGUUGACAUUAAGUACUUCUUCAUGAGUGAGAGGAGGCCCAUGAUGGAGAUGACACCAGUACCUCCUUCUAGCACUCUGAAUUCCCAAUGUUUACUACUGCUGUCUCUGAAACUGCAGCAUCCUCACCAGGACCACACAGGGAACAAAGGCAAGACACCUGAAAUCCCUUUAGCCAUAUUCACAACACUUACUUCAUAGAUAAGAUGAUGUUUGAAAUAUGAGAAGGAUUUUUUUUUUAAAAGAGCACUCUAUUCUCUUGGUAUCCUAGUAUGAGUGCCUGAAAGUGCACAUUGGCUAGAAGGUUUCAUGUGAGCAUCAGCCCCAGGGUCCAGAAGACACUCUUGGCAAGCCUGGAGAGUGAGUAUGUUGAACAGGCAAUGGAAGCAUCCAUGAAAGGCAGGCAACUGCGCACGACUUUCCAACAGAUGGCUGGUCAGUUGCACAGAGGGAAGGAGCCAUGGAUUCCAUGAUAAUGACACUUGUGCCAGCUUUUGUGUUUCCAGAAGUUUUGAAGAUAUAAGGGAACCACCACAUGUAGAGUAUGUGAAGUCUUACAGAGACGAGGUCCUAAGGUAUUUAUUUUGACAAAUCACGUUGCAAGUAAUGUGAAAGCAGUUUGAAGAAAAAAUGUCCCCAUCUAAUGCUGCAUUAUGGCAUGCAUUUCUUUAGCCUAAAUCUGUCAGUGACAUGAAAAUACAUGUUUUGCUGGACACAUAAUAGGUUGAACACAUAAUAGGUUCUAACAUGGAUCUGCAUAAAGAAGAAAGAAGAAAGGCUAUAAAGGUAGAAGAAUAAAUGUAUAAAUAUUACAACAGGACACUGAGCUGAGUGGCUCUUUACCAUAGACCUUGCUCAUAGUUCUCACUACAGGCUUGCUCUGAGCCAACUUCCAAGUUCUCUCCUUCUCCUUCCAAACUUCCCUGUAUGUCAUCUUGCUCCUGGGCCACCUGACUGAUGUUUAAUGCCUGGAUAUUUGCUUUCACCUCUGCAUGACCAAGCCUUGGCCAAGUCACUGUUGACUCAGUUGCAACAUCUGUCCCCUGCUGAGGGCUGUUGUAGCUUUCAUAGCUCACAGUCCAGCUUGAAUCUAACCUUUUCUGUGGUCAUUCAGAGUAGCAAGAAGCAUUGUGUUUUGGAUUUACUGCAGAACUCACACACUUAACUGUACACAGUCAGUUUUUAUAGCUAUCACUGCAUCCAGAUUGGACAGUGACCUUGGCUGAGACAUCCUUUACCUCUGUUUCAGAUUAAUUUAGGCGGCAUAUAAAAUCUCUGUGCACUGCCAGGGGAAAGUAAAGACUUCAUGAAGAAAUGGAGAAGAGCCGAAUAGUUGACCAUUGUUGCUGUAUAAAUCUUGGAUCCAGGGCUAAAAGGUGGCAGUAUAAAUGCAGAUGGUGCUGCUGCCAUAUUUUCCUGGCACACCUUUAAGCAGCACAUUUCAAGCCUUCAGGGUUGGAAUGGCAUUUCCAAAUAUAGACUCAAAAAAUCCUCAGAUGUUUGAUUCUAGAAUAGAGCUGGGAAUUCUGUCCUGCAAAUGCCUUCUGCAGCAUGGGAGCAAACCCACUCUUCUGUGUCUGUUGCUUCAAACUCUCUAUUUUCUGGAAACUGGAGAAAGAUGUGGGUCUACAUUUUGAAAUAUAUGCCUUGAACAAGAAUUAUGCACCUAUAGAAAACUUGUCAUACAUUGAAUAAACUCUCAGUUUACAGAAAUCUAUGGAAAUAUCAAAAUAAAACAUCAGAAGGAGCAGUAACUAUAGAGGUUAUUAACUAAGGGGAUAACCUGAAAAAUAAAGUUAUAUUUGCUAAAAACUGUA